RNAcentral lists this ribosomal RNA (425 nucleotides) under uncultured bacterium. RNAcentral's name for it is "bacterial SSU rRNA". It matches the Rfam family "Bacterial small subunit ribosomal RNA", at positions 356 to 773 of the family's 1533-position model. The record is from RNAcentral.
GGGGAAUAUUGGACAAUGGGCGCAAGCCUGAUCCAGCCAUGCCGCGUGUGUGAAGAAGGCCCUCGGGUUGUAAAGCACUUUCAGUGGGGAAGAACGCCUUCCGGCUAAUACCCGGGAGGAAAGACAUCACCCACAGAAGAAGCACCGGCUAACUCCGUGCCAGCAGCCGCGGUAAUACGGAGGGUGCGAGCGUUAAUCGGAAUUACUGGGCGUAAAGCGCGCGUAGGUGGCUUGAUAAGCCGGUUGUGAAAGCCCCGGGCUCAACCUGGGAACGGCAUCCGGAACUGUCAGGCUAGAGUGCAGGAGAGGAAGGUAGAAUUCCCGGUGUAGCGGUGAAAUGCGUAGAGAUCGGGAGGAAUACCAGUGGCGAAGGCGGCCUUCUGGACUGACACUGACACUGAGGUGCGAAAGCGUGGGUAGCAAAC